This 253-nucleotide ribosomal RNA is filed under the name uncultured bacterium. RNAcentral's name for it is "partial 16S ribosomal RNA". It matches the Rfam family "Bacterial small subunit ribosomal RNA", at positions 524 to 776 of the family's 1533-position model. The record is from RNAcentral.
UACGGAGGGGGCAAGCGUUAUUCGGAAUUAUUGGGCGUAAAGGGCGCGUAGGCGGCUAGAUGUGUCAAAGGUGAAAUCCCUCGGCUCAACUGAGGAACUGCCUUUGAAACUGUCUGGCUUGAGGCCGGGAGAGGGUAGUGGAAUUCCCAGUGUAGCGGUGAAAUGCGUAGAUAUUGGGAGGAACACCAGUGGCGAAGGCGGCUACCUGGACCGGUUCUGACGCUGAGGCGCGAAAGCGUGGGUAGCAAACAGG